AACGAACGCUGGCGGCAGGCUUAACACAUGCAAGUCGAACGCCCCGCCAGGGGAGUGGCAGACGGGUGAGUAACGCGUGGGAACAUACCCUUUUCUACGGAAUAGCUCUGGGAAACUGGAAUUAAUACCGUAUACGCCCUACGGGGGAAAGAUUUAUCGGGGAAGGAUUGGCCCGCGUUGGAUUAGCUAGUUGGUGGGGUAAAGGCCUACCAAGGCGACGAUCCAUAGCUGGUCUGAGAGGAUGAUCAGCCACAUUGGGACUGAGACACGGCCCAAACUCCUACGGGAGGCAGCAGUGGGGAAUAUUGGACAAUGGGCGCAGGCCUGAUCCAGCCAUGCCGCGUGAGUGAUGAAGGCCUUAGGGUUGUAAAGCUCUUUCACCGAUGAAGAUAAUGACGGUAGUCGGAGAAGAAGCCCCGGCUAACUUCGUG
Molecule: ribosomal RNA, 431 nt
Filed under: uncultured bacterium
Lineage: Bacteria
Description: partial 16S ribosomal RNA
Rfam family: Bacterial small subunit ribosomal RNA
Source: RNAcentral